This 543-nucleotide ribosomal RNA is filed under the name Lacticaseibacillus paracasei subsp. tolerans. RNAcentral describes it as "bacterial SSU rRNA". It matches the Rfam family "Bacterial small subunit ribosomal RNA", at positions 743 to 1286 of the family's 1533-position model. The record is from RNAcentral. Lineage: Bacteria; Bacillati; Bacillota; Bacilli; Lactobacillales; Lactobacillaceae.
ACGCUGAGGCUCGAAAGCAUGGGUAGCGAACAGGAUUAGAUACCCUGGUAGUCCAUGCCGUAAACGAUGAAUACUAGGUGUUGGAGGGUUUCCGCCCUUCAGUGCCGCAGCUAACGCAUUAAGCAUUCCGCCUGGGGAGUACGACCGCAAGGUUGAAACUCAAAGGAAUUGACGGGGGCCCGCACAAGCGGUGGAGCAUGUGGUUUAAUUCGAAGCAACGCGAAGAACCUUACCAGGUCUUGACAUCUUUUGAUCACCUGAGAGAUCAGGUUUCCCCUUCGGGGGCAAAAUGACAGGUGGUGCAUGGUUGUCGUCAGCUCGUGUCGUGAGAUGUUGGGUUAAGUCCCGCAACGAGCGCAACCCUUAUGACUAGUUGCCAGCAUUUAGUUGGGCACUCUAGUAAGACUGCCGGUGACAAACCGGAGGAAGGUGGGGAUGACGUCAAAUCAUCAUGCCCCUUAUGACCUGGGCUACACACGUGCUACAAUGGAUGGUACAACGAGUUGCGAGACCGCGAGGUCAAGCUAAUCUCUUAAAGCCAUU